RNAcentral lists this ribosomal RNA (186 nucleotides) under uncultured soil bacterium. RNAcentral describes it as "partial 16S ribosomal RNA". It matches the Rfam family "Bacterial small subunit ribosomal RNA", at positions 346 to 524 of the family's 1533-position model. The record is from RNAcentral.
AGGCAGCAGUGGGGAAUAUUGGACAAUGGGCGCAAGCCUGAUCCAGCAAUGCCGCGUGUGUGAAGAAGGCCUGCGGGUUGUAAAGCACUCUCAGUAGAGAAGAAAAGCCUACGCUUAAUAACCGUGAGUCUUGACGUAACCUACAGAAGAAGCACCGGCUAACUCCGUGCCAGCAGCCGCGGUAAU